AACGAACGCUGGCGGCAUGCCUAACACAUGCAAGUCGAACGAGACCUUCGGGUCUAGUGGCGCACGGGUGCGUAACGCGUGGGAACCUGCCCUUAGGUUCGGAAUAACUCCCCGAAAGGGGUGCUAUUACCGGAUAAUGUCUUCGGACCAAAGAUUUAUCGCCUUUGGUUGGGCCCGCGUUGGAUUAGCUAGUUGGUAGGGUAAAAGCCUACCAAGGCGACGAUCCAUAGAUGGUCUGAGAGGAUGAUCAGCCACACUGGGACUGAGACACGGCCCAGACUCCUACGGGAGGCAGCAGUGGGGAAUAUUGGACAAUGGGCGAAAGCCUGAUCCAGCAAUGCCGCGUGAGUGAUGAAGGCAUUAGGGUUGUAAAGCUCUUUUACCCGGGAUGAUAAUGACAGUACCGGGAGAAUAAGCUACGGCUAACUCCGUG
This 433-nucleotide ribosomal RNA is filed under the name uncultured bacterium. Its description in RNAcentral is "partial 16S ribosomal RNA". It matches the Rfam family "Bacterial small subunit ribosomal RNA", at positions 29 to 507 of the family's 1533-position model. The record is from RNAcentral.